Aquila chrysaetos chrysaetos is the source of this 4449-nucleotide long non-coding RNA. RefSeq lists it as uncharacterized. Lineage: Eukaryota; Metazoa; Chordata; Aves; Accipitriformes; Accipitridae. The transcript has 3 exons. The record is from RefSeq and is a predicted model, not a curated record.
CAUUGCCCUUUUGUGUGAGCUGGGGGGUACUGCUCUGUCGUCUGGUGGAAAGUGAAAUGAGGUCUUUUUAAAACUGUUUUGCUGGAGUUUUGGAUUUGCUACUGGAAAAGAAGUUGCAGCUGAGAAGAAAGCACUCACUUUUUGUCAGGCUAGCUCUAAAACCAUCAGUUUGUAAAACUAAGCCAAUUCUUUUCCUUUUAGAUCUGCUUCUUAUUAAUCUGUGUUGAUCUCAGUUGUUAUGAUACCUUCACGGUGCCUUAUUUCACUCCUGCUGCAGGGCCUGGGUUCGCUGGAAGAGCCACGUCUUUCAUGCCAGGUUAUGGCCACACAGCACAGUCUGCCUCACAGAAAUCCUAUCACGGUGGAAAGCGUAGUCCAUGGAGAAGUCUGGCACAAAGCACAGAAAUGGGAUUCAGGCGAACUUCGUGAGAUGCUGAGAACGUUCAAUGGAAAAGAGUCCAAAGAAAAUAUUUUAACAUUUCCCAGUGUUUUGGGUGGAAAAUGUCUUUGCAGGGAAUAAAUCUCAGUAUUUUAAUUGUUCCUCCUAUAUUUGCAAAGUUAAAAGAAUAUAUAUUUUUAUCCAUGAGAUCAGAUUUAUAGCUUCUGAAGGCUGUCUUUAUGGAUAGGUUUUUGAAUGGAGCAUUGUGAGGAGGCCAUUUAAACAGAAAUUGCCCAUAGGUGUUAUGGGGUUGAAGGAAAAGGUGUUAAGACAUUAUCUAUACAACCAGCAGCUAUGCAUCAUUGAACUUAGUAUUGUAUCCAGACCUUCUGUGACCAUUCCCCGUAUAGAAUCACUUCCUGCAAGGAAUAUAGAGAAUUUUUGUGUUUUGUAGUUAAAAGGUGCUUCGUAAUCUUUAUAUCUAUCUAACCUGACUCUUGCUCCAUAUGUUCAUAUCCUCUGUAUUCCUUUCUCUUCCAUUCUUUAACCACACAGACAUGUAUAUAAAAGAACUAACCAUUUUAUUUUAAUUUCAUUGAUCUUGUGGUAACCAUUUGAAGCGAUAACUACUCAAUCACAGCAAUUUGUUUCUGGAAUGGUCAUCAAAACUUUUAAUGAAGGAAGGAGCAAAUUAUUUUAUUUGUUUUUAUCAGAAAAUUUAUUAUUUCCAGUCAGCUUUCUACUCAGUGUGCUCUAGCUAGUGAAUUGUUCAAGAGAUUAUUAAGAAGAUGAUUUACCUACUUUUUUGUGGGAACAGGGUUUAUAGUUUGAUAAUCUAAGCGAUUUGAUAAUGAGUUUCAAGUAGAAAGGCAAUUUCAAGAAAAUACUGUUCAUUAACUGUAUGUGGACUAAUGUUACCUGACAUUGAUCUGAAAUUUGUUGCACAAGAUCCAAGUGCACUUUAGCCACAAUUACCAUACUGAUCCUGCUGAAAUAAUUGAUUAAACUCCCGUAAUCUUCAGUGGAGCCAAGAAUUCAUCCUCACUUGAGGUCUUUAAGCCCUCGUUCUCUUUCUCUCCUUAAAAUCUGCCCUCUCCCUUUCUCCCUCACCCUCAAUUCCCCAAUCUAUGUUUAUGGGUUUACUACAUCCAUCAUUAAAAUGCAGCUAUUCCUGUUCAGCAGCUUGCAGCAGUGUUACAUAAACAAACGAAGAGAAACAGGAAUGGGGUAUCAAAUAUCGUAGGUGGCCUUAAAACUUUAUUUUUAACAUUUAAAAUACGAUUAAACCACAUUUUGACAUUUAAAAUUACACCACCUUGCCUUUGCAUGUGCCCUUUCUUCAAACUCAGAGUUUUACUUCUGACAACCUGAGCUAGUUCUGUAAGAAUUGCUCAAGUGCUUGAAAGCACGUGUUGGCAGGUGCAGCGAGAAGCUUGCCACAACAUAAGCAGGCACGUACAAGGAAUUCAAGACUCUUUUGCUUGCAGUUAAGGGUAGUUUUAUCAUUGAUUUAGGAAACAAAAAUAUCAGGCCCAGUGAAAUAAAUUAAAGGUGACUAAUCGCAUUUUCCUGUUCAUUGUUUACCUUUCCCUCAUCAUCUGUUCUUUAACUAUGAGCUCAUUAUUUUAUAUUACUUCAGCUGAAUUUGUGCAAAAGAAAUAUAUUUUCACAUGCUGUGUAACCAUCUGUUUGCUCUGGCAAGUUAUAUAGUUUUGCCUUUCAGGAGGCUGCCAUGAUAUUAUGCAAACAUGUCUGUUCAUUUGCUACACCAUCUUGGUUACCACUUCAGCCAUGUUCUCCGUUCCAGCUUUCACAUCUGUAUUUCUAACUGUGUCAUGUCCGGACUUAAGCCAACUCCAUCGCUAUUUGGAGAACUUCAAAAUGAAAGGAAAAGAUUAAUGGGCAUUUAAUAACCUGCGAGCAAAGCUCUCUGCUUUGGUUGUCUUCAUUGUUUAACAUGAGUUGAUGUAUGUGCAAAAGAGAAAAUGAAGUAGUGGGAACAAACUCAGCUAAAAGUCAGAUGUUUGGAAGUCAGAUGCAUUUUUGGUUUAGUGAGAGCCUGAAAAAGUAGCAGAUCUGUGGGAAACAUGAAAAUAUGUGCAUUAAAGCAAAGGGAGUCUCCAUUGGUCAGCUUUACUAAAAUACACUGAUAGAUCAUGCAGUACUACUUUUGUGGUCUGAAAAACAAAUAAACAUUGGGUCACAUUCUCAGUACAUGCCUGUAAGCAUAGGUCCUUGAAGUCAGUGAGGUUACGCCAGUAUAUUUUAGCUAAAAUCUGUCCCUGCAUACAAACAAAAAUGGUGAUGAUAGGCCAAUUUUUAUGACUGCGUAGGUCCAAUUCAGGUUUCUGAAAAGCUGUGGUGUCACUAGUAAGUACCUACUGCCAUUCAACAGAAUGAAUAAAGGAAUACAGGUUGCAUAUAUUAUAUAGCAUUAUUAUGCUAUGGAUAUUUUUUCCUACUAUCAUACUGAUAGAAAUAUUGCUUGGGUUUUACUUUCCUUUUUUUUUUUUUUUUUUUCCUGCUAACAGCAAACUACAUAAAUGGACGGCUUCUGCUAAGCUCGCACUCCUGCAAAACUCAGCUCCUGGAACGGACUGCCCCGAACCUGUGCUGAGCGAGGGGUAUUUCUACAUGACCUGUCAUGUUGGCCUGUGAGUGCUCCGGUGAUUUAAAUGAUCUGGAAAAUCUGUUUCAAGGAAGAAGUUCCUAAACCAGAGCUGGCAGCUUAAGAGCAGGAGUUGCAAAGCUGGAACUUGCAAAACUGGUGGUGUCCUUUAUGGGCACACAUACCAGCUCCAGAAGACUAUGCCGUGAAUACUUGUUUCCCUCUUGGGGUGAUGGGAGGAGGAAGACACACUCCACUUCAGCUUUCCAAGACACAGGAACACGCGAUGUAGUUGUGGGUCAUUUUUCCACUCCCGGUUUCUCUCUUGACGGUGACAGCGGUAUGCUACUAUGGGCUCAAGACUUGGGCUGUAUUUGCGAAGCGUGAGAAGUCAUUGCCGAGAAUAGACUAAUUUUCUAAUUAGAAGAAAUGUGUCCACGUGCACAUGGCUUUUCAGCUAAUUCCUGCUCAGUCAUGCAGUUCUUAAGAGCUUUUCUUCACUUACUAUGUGAUAUCUCCCAUGUGAGCAAGCUCAGUCAGCCAUGGUACAAAAUGGUAUCACAAUGACCCUGUUAUAUUGUCAAAACCAAACAUAGGCAUUGGCAAUUAUAUUGCCACUGACUGAACAGAGGAGCUAGACAUACAAAAACACAUCAUUCAGCUUUAUGAGGAGCCGAGUCGGACAAGGGGAAGAUAGCAGACUCCGUUUAGUACCUGGCCGUUGUAAUGCAUCUAGCUCCUGAGUGCACAAACCGUGCAACGUGACAUAUCUGCUCUAAUCAGCGUAGGAUUUUGUGGGAGUAUGGGUCUACGUGCACUCAAGGCGUUUGGCAUUCUUCUAUAAGCCAGAUAAUAUCGCUGACAGGGAGGGCACCGGGCCGCAGUGAAAAAGAGGCUGUUUGAGAUGCAGGGUCACUCGGAAGGCGAUGCAGUGCAGGCACUACAGAGCUCUGGGCAGGUUUCAUCGAUCAGAAGAGUUUACACCAACACGCAGAAGGAGGCAUUCACUCCUGAAGUUCUUCUGUCCGUGUAUUAGAAAGAACAACCCAGUAAGAUCUAACUGAGGAAAAUGCCAAGUGUUUUCCCUGAAUGUGGCAAGUUCGUGGCUUGAUACUGGUUCCUGCCUAAGGUCAAUAUUUAAUUAGAUGAGUGGAGCAUUUGUAUAAAGGUAGCUUCUUGAGCGUCCCAAAUGCUACAUCUAUUGGUAAAGUACUGGCAAAGGUUAUUUAAAGUACUUACAAUUAUUCAGUGAUACAAGUCCCUGCAAUAACAAGUUGUUUGCAUCUACAAUUACCGUGUGGAGUUGAACCAAAGACUAAGCGAGGCUUUCCGUGCCUGUAAAGUUUUAUGAUUGUACUUCUUUCUUAUUUUAACAGAAUUUUAUACAGUAGAUGGUGUGUGCACUGUGUAUUUUGGGAAAUGAAAGCAAUUACUGCUUUAAUAAACAUUCAGCAGAAUGUGA